Molecule: ribosomal RNA, 406 nt
Filed under: uncultured bacterium
Lineage: Bacteria
Description: partial 16S ribosomal RNA
Rfam family: Bacterial small subunit ribosomal RNA
Source: RNAcentral
AUUGAACGCUGGCGGCAGGCCUAACACAUGCAAGUCGAACGAGUGGCGGACGGGUGAGUAAUGUCUGGGAAACUGCCUGAUGGAGGGGGAUAAGUACUGGAAACGGUAGCUAAUACCGCAUACCAUCAGAUGUGCCCAGAUGGGAUGAGCUAGGUGGUGGGGUAAGGGCUCACCAAGACGAAGAUCCGUAACGUGUCUGAGAGGAUGACCAGCCACACGUGAACUGAGACACGGUCCAGACUCCUACGGGAGGCAGCAGUGGGGAAUAUUGCACAAUGGGCGCAAGCCUGAUGCAGCCAUGCCGCGUGUAUGAAGAAGGCCUUCGGGUUGGAAAGUACUUUCAGCGGGGAGGCGUUACCCGCAGAAUAAGCACCGGCUAACUCCGUGCCAGCAGCCGCGGUAAUUC